Molecule: ribosomal RNA, 497 nt
Filed under: uncultured bacterium
Lineage: Bacteria
Description: partial 16S ribosomal RNA
Rfam family: Bacterial small subunit ribosomal RNA
Source: RNAcentral
GAUGAACGCUGGCGGCGUGCCUAAUACAUGCAAGUCGAGCGAACAGAUAAGGAGCUUGCUCCUUUGAAGUUAGCGGCGGACGGGUGAGUAACACGUGGGUAACCUACCUAUAAGACUGGGAUAACUUCGGGAAACCGGAGCUAAUACCGGAUAAUAUUUAGAACCGCAUGGUUCUAAAGUGAAAGAUGGUUUUGCUAUCACUUAUAGAUGGACCCGCGCCGUAUUAGCUAGUUGGUAAGGUAACGGCUUACCAAGGCAACGAUACGUAGCCGACCUGAGAGGGUGAUCGGCCACACUGGAACUGAGACACGGUCCAGACUCCUACGGGAGGCAGCAGUAGGGAAUCUUCCGCAAUGGGCGAAAGCCUGACGGAGCAACGCCGCGUGAGUGAUGAAGGGCUUCGGAUCGUAAAACUCUGUUAUUAGGGAAGAACAAAUGUGUAAGUAACUGUGCACAUCUUGACGGUACCUAAUCAGAAAGCCACGGCUAACUACGUG